UGGGGAAUAUUGCACAAUGGGGGAAACCCUGAUGCAGCGACGCCGCGUGAACGAAGAAGGUAUUUGUAUCGUAAAGUUCUGUCCUAUGGGAAGAUAAUGACAGUACUAUAGAAGAAAGCUCCGGCUAAAUACGUGCCAGCAGCCGCGGUAAUACGUAUGGAGCGAGCGCUGUCCGGAAUUAUUGGGCGAAAAGGGUACGCAGGCGGUUUAAUAAGUCGAAUGUUCAAGAUCGGGGCUCAACCCCGCAAAGCAUUGGAAACUGAUAAUCUUGAGUAGUGGAGCGGAAAGUGGAAUUCCUAGUGUAGUGGUGAAAUACGUAGAUAUUAGGAGGAAUACCAGUAGCGAAGGCGACUUUCUGGACACAAACUGACGCUGAGGUACGAAAGCGUGGGGAGCAAACAGG
RNAcentral lists this ribosomal RNA (403 nucleotides) under bacterium. RNAcentral's name for it is "partial 16S ribosomal RNA". It matches the Rfam family "Bacterial small subunit ribosomal RNA", at positions 355 to 776 of the family's 1533-position model. The record is from RNAcentral.